AGUGAACGCUGGCGGUAGGCCUAACACAUGCAAGUCGAACGGCAGCACAGUAAGAGCUUGCUCUUACGGGUGGCGAGUGGCGGACGGGUGAGGAAUACAUCGGAAUCUACUUUUUCGUGGGGGAUAACGUAGGGAAACUUACGCUAAUACCGCAUACGACCUACGGGUGAAAGCAGGGGAUCUUCGGACCUUGCGCGAUUGAAUGAGCCGAUGUCGGGUUAGCUAGUUGGCGGGGUAAAGGCCCACCAAGGCGACGAUCCGUAGCUGGUCUGAGAGGAUGAUCAGCCACACUGGAACUGAGACACGGUCCAGACUCCUACGGGAGGCAGCAGUGGGGAAUAUUGGGCAAUGGGCGCAAGCCUGAUCCAGCCAUACCGCGUGGGUGAAGAAGGCCUUCGGGUUGUAAAGCCCUUUUGUUGGGAAAGAAAAGCAGCAGGUUAAUACCCCGCUGUUCUGACGGUACCCAAAGAAUAAGCACCGGCUAACUUCGUG
This 492-nucleotide ribosomal RNA is filed under the name uncultured bacterium. Its description in RNAcentral is "partial 16S ribosomal RNA". It matches the Rfam family "Bacterial small subunit ribosomal RNA", at positions 29 to 507 of the family's 1533-position model. The record is from RNAcentral.